CAGCAGCCGCGGGAAAACGGAGGGUGCAAGCGUUAAUCGGAAUUACUGGGCGUAAAGCGCACGCAGGCGGUCUGUCAAGUCGGAUGUGAAAUCCCCGGGCUCAACCUGGGAACUGCAUCCGAAACUGGCAGGCUAGAGUCUUGUAGAGGGGGGUAGAAUUCCAGGUGUAGCGGUGAAAUGCGUAGAGAUCUGGAGGAAUACCGGUGGCGAAGGCGGCCCCCUGGACAAAGACUGACGCUCAGGUGCGAAAGCGUGGGGAGCAAACAGGAUUAGAUACCCGUGUAGUCCCUGUCUCUUAUAC
RNAcentral lists this ribosomal RNA (301 nucleotides) under uncultured bacterium. RNAcentral describes it as "partial 16S ribosomal RNA". It matches the Rfam family "Bacterial small subunit ribosomal RNA", at positions 509 to 807 of the family's 1533-position model. The record is from RNAcentral.